Molecule: non-coding RNA, 277 nt
Organism: Tinamus guttatus (white-throated tinamou)
Lineage: Eukaryota; Metazoa; Chordata; Aves; Tinamiformes; Tinamidae
Source: RefSeq, a predicted model, not a curated record
UUUAUUGGCGAAACUAGAGUUUCCCUGAAAAAGCUGAAACCCAAUCAGAAAAAGAACUUCAACAUCUGCUUGGAGAGAGUAAUACCAAUGAAGCGUGCUGGAACGACCGGCUCAUCUCGUGGGAUGGCACUGUAUGAAGAAGAGGUAGAUCGUGGCGGGGAUGUGGAAGAACGCGGGAAGAUCCUCGUGUCGCUCAUGUACAGCACCCAGCAGGGCGGCUUGAUCGUCGGCAUCGUGCGCUGCGUGCAUUUAGCGGCCAUGGACGCCAACGGAUACU